CCCGCGCACGCCCCGCCCCGCCCCCUCCCGGGCCGCGCUCCGGAGGGCGGGGCCGCCACGUGCGCCUGCGCGGAGCCCGCAGUCCCCGAGCCGCAGCCCCGAGGCGGGCGGUUGCCUGGGGGCCCUCGCCCGCCCCCUGCCCUGCGCGCCCGUCGCGGCGAGUGGACCCCGGCCCUUCCCUCCCGCCCGAGCUGCGGCCUGACGCCGGGCAGAGGCGGCGCCGCUCCCAAGAUGUCGCAGACGGCCAUGUCCGAGACCUACGGUGGGAUGCUUUCGCCUGGAAGUGGCAGGAGACCCGGCGCUAACUCCUGAAGUCACUCGGGAACGACUUCCCUCCGCUACCUGCGGAAGGCGCUGGUGGGGCCUCCGGGGCUCUCCUGGCAGGAUUCUCCUCCUGCCUCGGUCCCGGCCGCGAGUAGCUGCUGUAAUCCAGGAAGCGUCCGUGUUUCCGUCCUGUAGAGGAGGAGCCCUUCCCCACACCUAGGAAGACAACGGCCGCCCGCGCCAGCUGCUUGGCCCUACUUAGCCCCGCGCCGCCUCUGGAGCCAGGUAACACGGGGU
This 561-nucleotide long non-coding RNA is filed under the name Dasypus novemcinctus (nine-banded armadillo). RNAcentral's name for it is "lncRNA (ENSDNOG00000050544.1)". The record is from RNAcentral. Lineage: Eukaryota; Metazoa; Chordata; Mammalia; Cingulata; Dasypodidae.